GACGAACGCUGGCGGCGUGCCUAAUACAUGCAAGUAGAACGCUGAAGGAGGAGCUUGCUCUUCUGGAUGAGUUGCGAACGGGUGAGUAACGCGUAGGUAACCUGCCUGGUAGCGGGGGAUAACUAUUGGAAACGAUAGCUAAUACCGCAUAACAGUAGAUGUUGCAUGACAUUUGCUUAAAAGGUGCAAUUGCACCACUACCAGAUGGACCUGCGUUGUAUUAGCUAGUUGGUGGGGUAACGGCUCACCAAGGCGACGAUACAUAGCCGACCUGAGAGGGUGAUCGGCCACACUGGGACUGAGACACGGCCCAGACUCCUACGGGAGGCAGCAGUAGGGAAUCUUCGGCAAUGGACGGAAGUCUGACCAAGCAACGCCGCGUGAGUGAAGAAGGUUUUCGGAUCGUAAAGCUCUGUUGUAAGAGAAGAACGAGUGUGAGAGUGGAAAGUUCACACUGUGACGGUAUCUUACCAGAAAGGGACGGCUAACUACGUG
This 495-nucleotide ribosomal RNA is filed under the name uncultured bacterium. RNAcentral describes it as "partial 16S ribosomal RNA". It matches the Rfam family "Bacterial small subunit ribosomal RNA", at positions 28 to 507 of the family's 1533-position model. The record is from RNAcentral.